RNAcentral lists this ribosomal RNA (443 nucleotides) under uncultured bacterium. RNAcentral's name for it is "partial 16S ribosomal RNA". It matches the Rfam family "Bacterial small subunit ribosomal RNA", at positions 338 to 795 of the family's 1533-position model. The record is from RNAcentral.
CCUACGGGAGGCAACAGUGGGGAAUAUUGGGCAAUGGGCGCAAGCCUGACCCAGCAACGCCGCGUGAAGGAAGAAGGCUUUCGGGUUGUAAACUUCUUUUCUCAGGGACGAAGCAAGUGACGGUACCUGAGGAAUAAGCCACGGCUAACUACGUGCCAGCAGCCGCGGUAAUACGUAGGUGGCAAGCGUUAUCCGGAUUUACUGGGUGUAAAGGGCGUGUAGGCGGGGACGCAAGUCAGAUGUGAAAACCACGGGCUCAACCUGUGGCCUGCAUUUGAAACUGUGUUUCUUGAGUGCUGGAGAGGCAGAUGGAAUUCCUAGUGUAGCGGUGGAAUGCGUAGAUAUUAGGAGGAACACCAGUGGCGAAGGCGGUCUGCUGGACUGCAACUGACGCUGAGGCACGAAAGCGUGGGGAGCAAACAGGAUUAGAUACCCGGGUAGUC